GACAGAGGUGCCAAGCGUUAGGCGGAAUCACUGGGCUUAAAGCGUGUGUAGGCGGGCGGACAAGUACCUUGUGAAAUCCCACGGCUCAACCGUGGAACGGCUUGGUAUACUGUUCGUCUUGAGGCAUCUAGAGGCAACUGGAACAAACGGUGGAGCGGUGAAAUGCGUAGAUAUCGUUUGGAACGCCAAAGGUGAAAACAGGUUGCUGGGGAUGCACUGACGCUGAGACACGAAAGCCAGGGGAGCAAACGGG
RNAcentral lists this ribosomal RNA (253 nucleotides) under uncultured bacterium. RNAcentral's name for it is "partial 16S ribosomal RNA". It matches the Rfam family "Bacterial small subunit ribosomal RNA", at positions 524 to 776 of the family's 1533-position model. The record is from RNAcentral.